GAAACAAUAGUCAUGGUCUGUAUAAAAGAAGGUUUCUGGUUUUAUUAAAGAAUUCACAUGUAAAAAGGGUGUUUUCAAGUCCAAAGAAAUUAGGUUAUUGAAAAGGAAUCACAAUUGUGGGGUGUAUGGUAUUCCAGGUAUGAUUGACUUCCAGUCAAUUGGUUUGGAUAUCAAAGGUGUGUCAGAACAUUGAAAUAAGGUUUAUAUGGUAGUUAUCCAAAAAUCUCAAGGUUUGAAGGUUUACAAUUGAAUAAGGUUUCCAAAAUAGAUAUCAAAGAAUCAAGUUAAUGGCUCAAGAAUCAAUGAAUGAAUAGUUCAAGUGAUAGUCAAAGAAUCUGGUUGAUGGUUUAAGAAUCGAUGAAUUAAACAAUUCAUGAUAUGGCUCAAUAAGUGUCAUGAGUGAAUUAGAAAGCUAGCAAAGCAAUCACAUCAAGGAUCAUAUAUAUAUAUAAUUGAAGGAAAGUAUCAAGGAAACUUGCCUUAUACUGACGAUUUCAAAUUUCAAUCGCUCCUGCUCGAUAUACUAUUCUAUAUCCACUUGCUUUCCCCCUUUAUUACGUCUGGCUUCUCUGCUGAUCAUCACAACUAAUUAUCAAUAUGUGAUCUCAUACUAUUCUCAUCAUCUUACAUUCGAAACGGGCUUCUAACUACCCUUCGUUUCACCCAAAUCCGAUUUACGGAUCAAAAGAUAUGUCAAAAAAAUUUUAUAUCAAUCACGUAAACACAUAACAUAUCAAUCAGAUAGCAUAUAGCACAUAUCACAUAAAAUAUUUAAUAAAAUAUAUUUUUCAAAAGGGGUUUGAAGUCAAACGGAUUUUUCUGGUAUUUAUUAUGAAUUUUUAAACAUUUUUCGGAAUUAAAACGGGUCAAAGAAUCAUUUUAUAAAUAAAUAAUCCAUUUUUGGAUACUCGAAA
RNAcentral lists this long non-coding RNA (914 nucleotides) under Daucus carota (carrot). RNAcentral's name for it is "long non-coding RNA (DCAR_LNC004013)". Lineage: Eukaryota; Viridiplantae; Streptophyta; Magnoliopsida; Apiales; Apiaceae. The record is from RNAcentral.